GGGGUGUCCAGAAAGGUUGAGCCUGAGCAUGUGGCAUGCAGGAACACCGGGGCCGACAAAGCCCCCAGGCGGGGAGAUCUUGGUGGCCAGGGUCCCUGCGUCAUCAGCCAGUAUCUAGCUGGCCCUAGGGAGCCCAGGACAGAGUUUGGAGUGUGGACUCUGGACCAGCCUGCCUGGAGUGAAACCUCAGGGCUGCCACUUACCAUUCGAGGCCACAUGACCUGGGCGGGGUAUUGAAAGUCUCUUUGACUUUGUUUCCCCAUCUGUCAGUCAGGGAUCAGAACUGUAGCUUCCCCAUAGGGAUGCUUGAGGAUUAAACAAGUUAGAACGUGUAAGGACUCAGCAUCAAUCCGUAAGGGUUGGGGGUUCUCCUUGACCUCACCUGAGGAGCCCCAUGGAGACUUGACAAAGAAAACAGGCCCUGGGGCAGGGUGGAGGGGUUCCACCACGGGGAAGGCAGGCACGUUGAGCUCCCAUCCAGAGCAGGACCCUUGGCCUUCUUCACUCCUGGGCGAGGAAGGUGGGACAGUGUGUCUGCAGGGGUGGAGGGUACUUGCCCUGAGCUCCUGCCCCUGGGAAUCCAGCUUGGGGUGUCUCAGCUCAGAGGUGCCGAGCCAUAAAAUCACUCCUCAACCUGGACCACCCAGGGCACCCCUGAGAUCCUACUCAGAGUGGGGUUUCUGAUGGGGCAGCCAAUAGAGCCCUCUUCCUCUGCCUGAAUGAGAUAGAUUGAACAUGGAAAUAGCACUUGUCUUCCUUUUUUUUUUUUUUUUUAGGGCCCCACCCAUGGCAUACGGAAGUUCCCAAGCCAGGGGUCAAGGUGGAACUGCAACUGCCGGCCUAUGCCACAGCCACAGCAACGUCAGAUCCAAGCCCUGCCUGCAGCCUACACUGCAACUCACGGCAAUGCCUGAUCCUUAACCCACUGAGCAGGGCCAGGGAUCGAACCUGCGUCCUGAUGGAUAGAGUCUGGUUCCUUACCCCUGAGCCACAACAGGUACUCUACACUUGUCUUUCUGAUAAAGGCUAAGUUGGAGACCUGAACUUAGUCUGAAGGUCAAAUGGGUUUGCAGAAGCCGAAACGAGGCAGGUUCUCCCACCUGGCCCAGGACAGGGCUUCUUAGGGUGGGCGAUGCUGAAGAGAUGCUGCCUGUAGGAAGCUCAGUGCUUAGGAGCAAAGGGUCUGCCCACCCCACCUCCUCCAGGCCGGAGGGAGUAAAGGGGAGGAGCCAGGACAGGAAGGUACGGGUGGCGGAGCAGCGGGCUGGGAAGAAAGCAUCUGGAGGGGAGAGAAGCCACCUCCAUUCAGCCCUCCACGCCUCUGACGUCAUUCUUCCUCAAAGCCCCACAAAGAUGCCUCAAGUGGAAGUUGCAGUGCAGUACAGUGUUUCUACUCUAUGGACGUUGGUGCAGGACUGCUAGGUACGAAUCCUACUUCGGCUACUUCCUAGUUCUGUGCCAGGUGCUCUGGGGCCUCCAGAUUCCCACUUGAACAGGGGGAGGGUCCCACAGGAAGACUGACAGGAAGCUGGAGUCCUUAAACUCAUCAGGGCCUAGCUCAGGACCAGUUGGCAACUGGGAAUUUUGUUAUCAUGAUCUUUGUUAGCAUCUGCAGUGGCCUUCGGGGGGUUUCCAGCACUCCAGGAACAGACAGGCCUUUGCGCCACCUUAUGUAAAAGGGUGUAAUUGCAGGACUCUGCCUCCAAGGACGGGCAGCAAAGUCAGUGGAGGAUGGGGCCUCCUAGAGGCUUGGAGCUGGACCGACAGAACCCGAAGCUCCUGGGGCCAUGGGGUCACUCAUUUCUGUUCUCUGGGAGGCUUCCCAAAUCUCCUUCUUUUCCAUAUAUUGAAGCUUCCCCUACCCCGAGCAUGGCACCGAGAGCGAGAAAUAGCAUGUGAAUAAGAGAAUCAAGUUCCUGCCCUCAUGGGGUGACAGUCCAGUUAGGAAGACAGACAGUACCAUGGAGCAUGGGCUGGAUUCUUCUUCCUUUUGAAGGCUGAAUAAUAUUCCACUGCACGUACAGACGUUGUAUUUACCCUUUCAUCCAUCGACCGAUACCUGGUUUGCUUCCACCUUUAGGCUCCUGUGACUAAUGCUGCUAAGAACAUGGGUGUACAAGUCCCCCCUCUUCCUCUUACGAGUGAAACAAAUUAUAGUUAGGCAAGAUGGACCAAAAAAGGCAGGAUGGAAGGACCCAACCCAGUCUAGGGAAGGCAUUGGGGAUGAUUUUCACCUGAAAUUGAACAUAUGAGGUAAAGCAACAUUUUGGGUGGAAUCCAAAAGAGGAGAAGUUAGCCAGGUUAAAAAGUAAGUGAAGGAGUUCCCUGGUGGCUCAGCAGGUUAAGGAUCUGGUGCUGUCACUGUUGUGGCAGGGUUCCAUCCCUCGCCUCAAGCUCUGGGGUGGGGGAGGGGUGGCCAGAAAAACAAAAAACAAAACAAAAAAGUAAGCGAAGAAGAGCUUUAGACACAUGUGAUAGCCAUGGGACUGAAAGAGGCUCGGGUUGUUCUAGAAGUGGAAAUGGGGCCAGUGUGACAGGGGCAUAAAGGUGAAAGGGGGAUGGGAUAGGUCUUAGGGGUCUUGCGGGACUCAUUACAAAUGGGCUUUUUCUGACGAACGGGUGUGGACAAUUGAAGACAUUUAAGCAGAAGCGUGAAGUGUCCAAAUAUGGACGUCGAGCCCCCAAAUCCCUGCAGUCACCGCAGGAGGAGCGAAUUGGAAGUCAGAGCGGGUGGGGCAGGAGUGAAUGUGGCCCCAGCAUCACAGUUCCCCAGGCAGGAGGUCCUGGUGGCCCCAGCAUGUCCCUUUGCCUCCUACAUCCCAUUCCAAGUCAUUCAAACUUCUCCCAGAUUAGCUAUGGUCAAAAUUUUAAAAACAUGCUUCUCUCUAGUCCUACUUUUCAGUAGUGAGCAUAUAUUUAUAGUGGAAAAAAAGAGACUUGGAAAAGCAAAGAAAAUAUCAAUUUAUAAAAUAUUAUAGUAUGUACAUAAUAUUAUGUAAAAUAGUAUUAAGCAGAAUCCACCUGACUCCUGUUUAAGGGAGGCCUAUUGUGGUGCCUUAUGGGGGACGGUUAUAUUUGCCUUUGAUCAUUUCUGGCAAGUGUUUCUGGGAAAUUCCUGCUCUGGAUUCAUUGCAGGAACUCUACUCCUUAGGAUGGAAAGGAUGGAGAGGGAAUAUUCCUUGUAAUCAGGUGACAUACGGGGGUGACUAGGUCUCAUGGCACAUCAUUCUAGAGGAAAUCCCUGAAGUCCUGGUACCCAGCCGCAUCCCUACUUUCCUCCCUCCCUCACUGAUGCACCCAUCUCACCUGGAAACAGCGGAGAUGCAGGGAAGAGAGGAGAUAUAGGCUUGCAGGAACGAGACAUCCUUUUCCAUCCGAGCUGAGCUGAUCGAUUUAGAUGGACAGAUGUGAGCUAAUCAAUUGUAAGGAAAGCAAGAUAUUCAUCAAGGUCAAAGAUAUAUUCACAUGUAUCUUGGGCUAAAAUAAAACAAUGGAGGCUCAACAAAUAUUUGGAUAAAUACUUAUCUUGAAGACUAUUAAGAGUGCAUAUUUUUCCCUUUCUCUCCCAACUUGUCCCAUUCAACAAACCAUCUCCCACUCAUGACUCGAAUAUAAUGUAUUUAUUUAUAUCCCAAGUCAAUCCAAAAAGGAGUUGCUCUGGCUUCCAAAAGACAAAAACCCUGAUAAUAAAACCAAGGUAUAUGAACUCAAAUUGGAAAACAGAUUGGAGAAGAAAAAUUAAAAACCAAAUAUUCAUUCCAGUUGCUCCCAGGGAGCCUAGUGCCAGGAUUGAAGUGUUCUGCUGGUUAGGAUGAAAAAGGAAACUUCAUACACAUCUCUCUUGAUCAGGAAAAAGGAUACAUUGUGACUUUUUUUCAGGGAAGACCUAGUAUUUCCUGGUCCCAAAUUUGGAAAGAAAUUUCUCCAAUGGUACAUGAUAGAGAGACAGAAUGAACCCUAUCUUAAUAACAGUUUGG
Molecule: long non-coding RNA, 3977 nt
Filed under: Sus scrofa (pig)
Lineage: Eukaryota; Metazoa; Chordata; Mammalia; Artiodactyla; Suidae
Description: lncRNA (ENSSSCG00000052749.1)
Source: RNAcentral